Molecule: non-coding RNA, 29 nt
Filed under: Mus musculus (house mouse)
Lineage: Eukaryota; Metazoa; Chordata; Mammalia; Rodentia; Muridae
Source: RNAcentral
UAAGUAUACUAUUUAUAUGGGUCCAUCUU